GGCCUUCCAUUUCUUGCGAUGGCCCCCUAUAUUCAGUCUGUCGGCUUGACCGACUAUGGCGAUAAAUGGGCGAUGAAAUAAGCCGUUCGGACCCGGGGGCGGUACCCGGCGCCUCCACCAAAAGCUGCUGCUGAUGACAGAGCGGUUUUUGCUGGGGGCGAAAUAGGAUCGACGAAGGUGUAAAGAUCGUACUUUUGCCCGGCAUGGUACCAC
This 213-nucleotide transfer-messenger RNA is filed under the name Mesorhizobium sp. RNAcentral describes it as "partial transfer-messenger RNA". It matches the Rfam family "Alphaproteobacteria transfer-messenger RNA", at positions 1 to 207 of the family's 355-position model. Rfam says of the family: Bacterial tmRNA, also known as 10Sa RNA or SsrA, is named for its dual tRNA and mRNA-like properties. Its role is to liberate the mRNA from a stalled ribosome. The record is from RNAcentral. Lineage: Bacteria; Pseudomonadati; Pseudomonadota; Alphaproteobacteria; Hyphomicrobiales; Phyllobacteriaceae.